AUACGGAGGGUGCAAGCGUUGUUCGGAAUCACUGGGCGUAAAGGGCGCGCAGGCGGUUUGGUAAGUCAGAUGUGAAAGCCCAUGGCUCAACCAUGGAAGUGCAUUUGAAACUGUCAGACUUGAGUACUAGAGGGGAAUGUGGAAUUCCCGGUGUAGAGGUGAAAUUCGUAGAUAUCGGGAGGAAUACCGGUGGCGAAGGCGACUUUCUGGCUAGAUACUGACGCUGAGGCGCGAAAGCGUGGGGAGCAAACAGGAUUAGAAACCCCUGUAGUCC
RNAcentral lists this ribosomal RNA (274 nucleotides) under uncultured bacterium. RNAcentral's name for it is "partial 16S ribosomal RNA". It matches the Rfam family "Bacterial small subunit ribosomal RNA", at positions 523 to 796 of the family's 1533-position model. The record is from RNAcentral.